AAAAUAACAAAAGAAGCUUCCUUGUGCUUCAUUCUUUAUCCCCACAAAAAUCCUAUAUGAUUCUUCAGAGGCAAAUAAUUUGCAUUCUCUAAGCACAGACUGCUUCUUCCCUAACUUGUUUGUUUUAAAGGGAUGUGCUGUUGUCCCCUCAGGUGAAAUGUGACCACUAUUGGCCAUUCACAGAAGAACCCAUAGCUUAUGGAGACAUCACGGUGGAGAUGAUCUCAGAGGAAGAGCAGGACGACUGGGCCUGUAGACAUUUCCGGAUCAACUACAACGGCGUAGAUGAAAUGCUUGGUCCCGUAGAGCCCGAGGAGGCGUAGCCACAAGGCUUUCAUGGUCCCGUGUCAGAUUCUCCUGGGGUAAUAGAAGACAGGACAAGGUGACCCACCACUCACCAGGCAUGACUGAGAAGUGUUGUCACUGCUUAUAUUAACCAUCUAAGUAGGAUAUACAAAAACGUUUUAAAAUAAAGUGUAGCUUUAGAUGAGGAAGAUUGAGUUU
Molecule: long non-coding RNA, 504 nt
Filed under: Sus scrofa (pig)
Lineage: Eukaryota; Metazoa; Chordata; Mammalia; Artiodactyla; Suidae
Description: lncRNA (ENSSSCG00025023964.1)
Source: RNAcentral